This 383-nucleotide ribosomal RNA is filed under the name uncultured fungus. RNAcentral's name for it is "SSU rRNA". It matches the Rfam family "Eukaryotic small subunit ribosomal RNA", at positions 827 to 1208 of the family's 1831-position model. The record is from RNAcentral. Lineage: Eukaryota; Fungi.
CGUGUGGUUCUAUUUUGUUGGUUUCUAGGACCGCCGUAAUGAUUAAUAGGGAUAGUCGGGGGCAUCAGUAUUCAAUUGUCAGAGGUGAAAUUCUUGGAUUUAUUGAAGACUAACUACUGCGAAAGCAUUUGCCAAGGAUGUUUUCAUUAAUCAGUGAACGAAAGUUAGGGGAUCGAAGACGAUCAGAUACCGUCGUAGUCUUAACCAUAAACUAUGCCGACUAGGGAUCGGACGGUGUUAUUAUUUUGACCCGUUCGGCACCUUACGAGAAAUCAAAGUUUUUGGGUUCUGGGGGGAGUAUGGUCGCAAGGCUGAAACUUAAAGGAAUUGACGGAAGGGCACCUCCAGGUGUGGAGCCUGCGGCUUAAUUUGACUCAACACGG